This 862-nucleotide ribosomal RNA is filed under the name Collembolispora aristata. RNAcentral describes it as "partial large subunit ribosomal RNA". It matches the Rfam family "Eukaryotic large subunit ribosomal RNA", at positions 71 to 950 of the family's 3401-position model. Lineage: Eukaryota; Fungi; Ascomycota; Leotiomycetes; Helotiales. The record is from RNAcentral.
GGGAUUACCUCAGUAACGGCGAGUGAAGCGGUAACAGCUCAAAUUUGAAAGCUGGCUCUUUUAGGGUCCGCGUUGUAAUUUGUAGAAGAUGCUUCGGGUGUGGCCCCGGUCUAAGUUCCUUGGAACAGGACGUCAUAGAGGGUGAGAAUCCCGUAUGUGACUGGGUGCUUUCGCUCAUGUGAAGCUCUUUCGACGAGUCGAGUUGUUUGGGAAUGCAGCUCAAAAUGGGUGGUAAAUUUCAUCUAAAGCUAAAUAUUGGCCAGAGACCGAUAGCGCACAAGUAGAGUGAUCGAAAGAUGAAAAGCACUUUGGAAAGAGAGUUAAACAGUACGUGAAAUUGUUGAAAGGGAAGCGCUUGCAACCAGACUUGCGCGCUGAUGAUCAUCCGGGCUUUUGCCCGGUGCACUCGUCUGCGCUCAGGCCAGCAUCGGUUUCGGUGGUGGGAUAAAGGCCUUGGGAAUGUGGCUCCUCUCGGGGAGUGUUAUAGCCCUCGGUGCAAUGCCGCCAACCGGGACCGAGGACCGCGCUUCGGCUAGGAUGCUGGCGUAAUGGUUGUAAGCGACCCGUCUUGAAACACGGACCAAGGAGUCUAACAUCUAUGCGAGUGUUUGGGUGUCAAACCCAUACGCGUAAUGAAAGUGAACGGAGGUGAGAACCCUUAAGGGUGCAUCAUCGACCGAUCCUGAUGUCUUCGGAUGGAUUUGAGUAAGAGCAUAGCUGUUGGGACCCGAAAGAUGGUGAACUAUGCGUGAAUAGGGUGAAGCCAGAGGAAACUCUGGUGGAGGCUCGCAGCGGUUCUGACGUGCAAAUCGAUCGUCAAAUUUGCGUAUAGGGGCGAAAGACUAAUCGAACCAUCUAGUAG